GGAGAUGUGCCCGAAUUGGUGAAGGGGAUCGGUUGCUAACCGAUUGUCUACGGACAUGUGGGUUCGAGUCCCACCAUCUCCU
This 82-nucleotide transfer RNA is filed under the name Myxococcales bacterium. Its description in RNAcentral is "tRNA-Ser". It matches the Rfam family "tRNA". From Rfam's summary of the family: Transfer RNA (tRNA) molecules are approximately 80 nucleotides in length. Lineage: Bacteria; Pseudomonadati; Myxococcota; Myxococcia; Myxococcales. The record is from RNAcentral.